CCUACGGGUGGCAGCAGUGGGGAAUAUUGGGCAAUGGGCGCAAGCCUGACCCAGCAACGCCGCGUGAAGGAAGAAGGCUCUCGGAUUGUAAAGUUCUUUUCUUAGGGAAGUAGAAAGUGACGGUACCUUAUGAAUAAGCCUCGGCUAACUACGUGCCAGCAGCCGCGGUAAUACGGAGGAGGCAAUCGUUAUCCGGAAUGACUGGUCGUAAAGGGUGCGUAGGUGGUUUGAUAAGUUAGUAGCGUAAUUCCGAGGCUCAACCUCGUCAGUGCAACCAAAACUGGCGGACUUGAGUGCAGGAGGGGCAACUGGAAUUCCUGGUGUAGCGGUGGAAUGCGUAGAUAUUAGGAAGAACACCGAUGGCGAAGGC
Molecule: ribosomal RNA, 370 nt
Filed under: uncultured bacterium
Lineage: Bacteria
Description: partial 16S ribosomal RNA
Rfam family: Bacterial small subunit ribosomal RNA
Source: RNAcentral